UUUCAACUCUUUCUUUUUUUUUUUUUUUUUUAAAGUUCUAUAAAUACUAAAUUAAUAUGACGUUGUGAAAUGUAACUGGAUUUUGGAUCCCGCUAUUUAACCGUGGUCAUUAGCGAUUCCACAAAUCCAACAUGUUUUUCACAUCUUCAUGUAUAUUUAGCAUUUUUUUUUUUUUUGUUAUAAAAUUUUCAACUCUUUUUUUUUUUAAUUAUAA
This 214-nucleotide small RNA is filed under the name Arabidopsis thaliana (thale cress). Its description in RNAcentral is "ATSL306170". Lineage: Eukaryota; Viridiplantae; Streptophyta; Magnoliopsida; Brassicales; Brassicaceae. The record is from RNAcentral.